RNAcentral lists this ribosomal RNA (1916 nucleotides) under human gut metagenome. RNAcentral describes it as "bacterial LSU rRNA". It matches the Rfam family "Bacterial large subunit ribosomal RNA", at positions 3 to 1989 of the family's 2925-position model. The record is from RNAcentral.
UCAAGUUAAAAAGAGCACUAGGAGAAUGCCUAGGCACCAAGAGGCGAUGAAGGACGUGACAAGCUGCGAAAAGCUACGGAGAGGAGCAAAUAUCUUACGACCCGUAGAUAUCCGAAUGGGGAAACCCACCGCAAGGUAUCCUAUAGCCAAUUCAUAACUAUAGGAAGCGAACCAGGUGAACUGAAACAUCUAAGUAACCUGAGGAAAAGAAAGAAAACUCGAUUCCCAAAGUAGCGGCGAGCGAACAGGGAAGAGCCCAAAGUGUAAAAAGAGAAAAUAGCUAGUCGAAUAAUCUGGGAAGAUAAACCAAAGAAGGUAACAGUCCUGUAGACGAAAGCGAAAAUAUCCGACACAAAAGAGUACCACGGAACACGAGAAAUUCAGUGGGAACAUGGGGGGACCACCCCCUAAGGCUAAAUACUACUUGGUGACCGAUAGCGAACAAGUACCGUGAGGGAAAGGUGAAAAGAACCCCGGGAGGGGAGUGAAAUAGAAUCUGAAACCUAGUGUUUACAAGCAGCGAAAGUGGUUUCGUACCACGAUCGUGUACUUUUUGUAGAACGGGCCAGCGAGUUACGAUUAUUAGCAAGGUUAAACAUUACAGAUGUGGAGCCGCAGCGAAAGCGAGUCUUAAUAGGGCAGAAGUUAAUAGUCGUAGACCCGAAACCGUGUGAUCUAUCCAUGGGCAGAGUGAAGUUGAAGUAAAAUUCAAUGGAGGCUCGAACCGGGUAGCGUUUAAAAGCUAUCGGAUGACCUGUGGAUAGGGGUGAAAAGCCAAACGAACACGGAGAUAGCUGGUUCUCCUCGAAAUAGCUUUAGGGCUAGCCUCUAGUGGAAACAUGAAAAGGGGGUAGAGCACUGAAUGGUCAAGGGGCAUGCAUAUGUUACCAAGACCUAUCAAACUCCGAAUACCAUAUCAUGCACUAGGGAGUCAGACUAUGUGGGAUGAGCUUCAUAGUCGAAAGGGAAAGAGCCCAGACCAUCAGCUAAGGUCCCAAAAUUAUAGUUAAGUGGGAAAGGAUGUGGAGUUACUGAGACAACUAGGAUGUUGGCUUAGAAGCAGCCACUCAUUCAAAGAGUGCGUAAUAGCUCACUAGUCAAGUGACUCUGCGCCGAAGAUAACCGGGGCUAAACUAUAUACCGAAGCUAUGGAACGUAUAACGUUGGUAGAGGAGCAAUGUAUGAAGGACGAAGCAUAAGUCGCAAGGCAAUGUGGACACCAUACAAGAGAGAAUGCUGGCAUGAGUAGCGAGAGGUGAGUGAGAAUCUCACCCGUCGAAAACCCAAGGAUUCCUGAGCAAGGCUCGUCCACUCAGGGUAAGUCGGGACCUAAGGCGAGGCUGAAAAGCGUAGUCGAUGGACAACAGGUUGAAAUUCCUGUACCGAUACAAUCAUUAAAGGAAGUGGGGACGCAGGAGGAAAGUAAGAGCGCCCAGUUGGUGAGGCGUGCAAGCGCAAAGUCUGGAGAGUAGGAAAAUCCGCUCUCUGUUAAGGAUGAAGCGUGAUGCGGAUCGAAAACAAGUAGAGAAGCUUACGGAGCCACACUGCCAAGAAAAGCCACUACAAGAGAAGUAUCGCCCGUACCGUAAACCGACACAGGUAGGUGAGGAGAGAAUCCUAAGACGAGCGGAAAAACCUUUGUUAAGGAACUCGGCAAAAUGACCCCGUAACUUCGGGAGAAGGGGAGCCCCUGUAACAGGGGGCCGCAGUGAAAAGGCCCAAGCGACUGUUUACCAAAAACACAAGUUUCUGCAAAGUCGAAAGACGAAGUAUAGGAGCUGACACCUGCCCGGUGCUGGAAGGUUAAGGGAAAAAGUUAGCGCAAGCGAAGCUUAGAACUGAAGCCCCAGUAAACGGCGGCCGUAACUAUAACGGUCCUAAGGUAGCGAAAUUCCUUGUCGGGUAAGUUCCGACCC